This 301-nucleotide ribosomal RNA is filed under the name uncultured bacterium. RNAcentral's name for it is "partial 16S ribosomal RNA". It matches the Rfam family "Bacterial small subunit ribosomal RNA", at positions 509 to 809 of the family's 1533-position model. The record is from RNAcentral.
CAGUCGCCGCGGUAAUACGUAGGUCCCGAGCGUUGUCCGGAUUUAUUGGGCGUAAAGCGCGCGCAGGCGGCCUAUCCAGUCUGUCUUAAAAGUUCGGGGCUCAACCCCGUGAUGGGAUGGAAACUAGUAGGCUAGAGUAUCGGAGAGGAAAGCGGAAUUCCUAGUGUAGCGGUGAAAUGCGUAGAUAUUAGGAAGAACACCAGUGGCGAAGGCGGCUUUCUGGACGAAAACUGACGCUGAGGCGCGAAAGCCAGGGGAGCGAACGGGAUUAGAUACCCCAGUAGUCCCUGUCUCUUAUACA